GCAGUAGAACGCUGAAGAGAGGAGCUUGCUCUUCUUGGAUGAGUUGCGAACGGGUGAGUAACGCGUAGGUAACCUGCCUUGUAGCGGGGGAUAACUAUUGGAAACGAUAGCUAAUACCGCAUAACAAUGGAUGACACAUGUCAUUUAUUUGAAAGGGGCAAUUGUUCCACUACAAGAUGGACCUGCGUUGUAUUAGCUAGUAGGUGAGGUAAUGGCUCACCUAGGCGACGAUACAUAGCCGACCUGAGAGGGUGAUCGGCCACACUGGGACUGAGACACGGCCCAGACUCCUACGGGAGGCAGCAGUAGGGAAUCUUCGGCAAUGGGGGCAACCCUGACCGAGCAACGCCGCGUGAGUGAAGAAGGUUUUCGGAUCGUAAAGCUCUGUUGUAAGUCAAGAACGGGUGUGAGAGUGGAAAGUUCACACUGUGACGGUAGCUUACCAGAAAGGGACGGCUAACUACGUGCCAGCAGCCGCGGUAAUACGUAGGUCCCGAGCGUUGUCCGGAUUUAUUGGGCGUAAAGCGAGCGCAGGCGGUUUGAUAAGUCUGAAGUUAAAGGCUGUGGCUCAACCAUAGUUCGCUUUGGAAACUGUCAAACUUGAGUGCAGAAGGGGAGAGUGGAAUUCCAUGUGUAGCGGUGAAAUGCGUAGAUAUAUGGAGGAACACCGGUGGCGAAAGCGGCUCUCUGGUCUGUAACUGACGCUGAGGCUCGAAAGCGUGGGGAGCGAACAGGAUUAGAUACCCUGGUAGUCCACGCCGUAAACGAUGAGUGCUAGGUGUUGGAUCCUUUCCGGGAUUCAGUGCCGCAGCUAACGCAUUAAGCACUCCGCCUGGGGAGUACGACCGCAAGGUUGAAACUCAAAGGAAUUGACGGGGGCCCGCACAAGCGGUGGAGCAUGUGGUUUAAUUCGAAGCAACGCGAAGAACCUUACCAGGUCUUGACAUCCCGAUGCUAUUUCUAGAGAUAGAAAGUUACUUCGGUACAUCGGUGACAGGUGGUGCAUGGUUGUCGUCAGCUCGUGUCGUGAGAUGUUGGGUUAAGUCCCGCAACGAGCGCAACCCCUAUUGUUAGUUGCCAUCAUUCAGUUGGGCACUCUAGCGAGACUGCCGGUAAUAAACCGGAGGAAGGUGGGGAUGACGUCAAAUCAUCAUGCCCCUUAUGACCUGGGCUACACACGUGCUACAAUGGUUGGUACAACGAGUUGCGAGUCGGUGACGGCGAGCUAAUCUCUUAAAGCCAAUCUCAGUUCGGAUUGUAGGCUGCAACUCGCCUACAUGAAGUCGGAAUCGCUAGUAAUCGCGGAUCAGCACGCCGCGGUGAAUACGUUCCCGGGCCUUGUACACACCGCCCGUCACACCACGAGAGUUUUAACACCCGAAGUCGGUGAGGAACCUUUGGAGCCAGCCGCCU
RNAcentral lists this ribosomal RNA (1413 nucleotides) under Enterococcus sp. RNAcentral describes it as "bacterial SSU rRNA". It matches the Rfam family "Bacterial small subunit ribosomal RNA". The record is from RNAcentral. Lineage: Bacteria; Bacillati; Bacillota; Bacilli; Lactobacillales; Enterococcaceae.